GCCAGCAGCCAUAUCACCCUGCAACUCACAACUGGCAGCCCACUGGAGCCCAGCAGGUGUGAGCCUGGUCAGUACCUGGAUGGGAGACCUCCUGGGAAAAACUAAGGCUGCUGCUGGAA
Molecule: ribosomal RNA, 119 nt
Filed under: Lepisosteus oculatus (spotted gar)
Lineage: Eukaryota; Metazoa; Chordata; Actinopteri; Semionotiformes; Lepisosteidae
Source: RNAcentral